RNAcentral lists this ribosomal RNA (301 nucleotides) under uncultured bacterium. RNAcentral's name for it is "partial 16S ribosomal RNA". It matches the Rfam family "Bacterial small subunit ribosomal RNA", at positions 509 to 809 of the family's 1533-position model. The record is from RNAcentral.
CAGUAGCCGCGGUAAUACAGAGGAUGCAAGCGUUAUCCGGAAUGAUUGGGCGUAAAGCGUCUGUAGGUGGCUUUUCAAGUCCGCCGUCAAAUCCCAGGGCUCAACCCUGGACAGGCGGUGGAAACUACCAAGCUGGAGUACGGUAAGGGCAGAGGGAAUUUUCAGUGGAGCGGUGAAAUGCGUUGAGAUCGAAAAGAACACCAACAGCGAAAGCACUCUGCUGGGACGACACUGACACUAAGAGACGAAAGCUAGGGGAGCAAAUGGGAUUAGAUACCCCCGUAGUCCCUGUCUCUUAUAA